Capsicum annuum is the source of this 395-nucleotide long non-coding RNA. RefSeq lists it as uncharacterized. NCBI's taxonomy places the organism in Eukaryota, Viridiplantae, Streptophyta, Magnoliopsida, Solanales, Solanaceae. The transcript has 2 exons. The record is from RefSeq and is a predicted model, not a curated record.
CUCUGCAGGUAUAGUCUAUUUGAAUGAGAGACCGGCUGAGAUAGCAAAAGUAAAGAGUGUGUGAGAGAAGCGGCUGUUAACUUCUUUUAUGAAAUACAGAAGGCAACUUUUGGAAUGUCUGAAUGUUCCUAUUUCAUGUUAGAUGGAAACCUGGAGGACAUAAUUUCAGAGAAUAGAGGAAGCAGGGGAUGAAGAAGUCUUUGAGGAGCUCUAGGAAAGUUGAUAUGGUUUAUUCCUUUGGGAUCAGGAUUUCAACUGCCUGUUUUUGGAAUGCCAGUCCUAGUACUAUUUCCUAUAGUAUAUUUUCCCUUAGUUAUGACAGAUGAAUGUUCAUUUUGUUAUAUUUUCCUUGAGUGAGGCACAAUCUGCAUUAAGAAAUGUAUACGUGCUUCAUA